This 422-nucleotide ribosomal RNA is filed under the name uncultured Burkholderia sp. RNAcentral describes it as "bacterial SSU rRNA". It matches the Rfam family "Bacterial small subunit ribosomal RNA", at positions 381 to 797 of the family's 1533-position model. The record is from RNAcentral. Lineage: Bacteria; Pseudomonadati; Pseudomonadota; Betaproteobacteria; Burkholderiales; Burkholderiaceae.
AGCUGAUCAGCAUGCCGCGUGUGUGAAGAAGGCCUUCGGGUUGUAAAGCACUUUUGUCCGGAAAGAAAUCCUUGGCUCUAAUACAGUCGGGGGAUGACGGUACCGGAAGAAUAAGCACCGGCUAACUACGUGCCAGCAGCCGCGGUAAUACGUAGGGUGCGAGCGUUAAUCGGAAUUACUGGGCGUAAAGCGUGCGCAGGCGGUUUGCUAAGACCGAUGUGAAAUCCCCGGGCUCAACCUGGGAACUGCAUUGGUGACUGGCAGGCUAGAGUAUGGCAGAGGGGGGUAGAAUUCCACGUGUAGCAGUGAAAUGCGUAGAGAUGUGGAGGAAUACCGAUGGCGAAGGCAGCCCCCUGGGCCAAUACUGACGCUCAUGCACGAAAGCGUGGGGAGCAAACAGGAUUAGAUACCCCAGUAGUCAA